RNAcentral lists this ribosomal RNA (429 nucleotides) under Chloroflexota bacterium. Its description in RNAcentral is "Chloroflexi bacterium partial 16S ribosomal RNA". It matches the Rfam family "Bacterial small subunit ribosomal RNA", at positions 355 to 776 of the family's 1533-position model. Lineage: Bacteria; Bacillati; Chloroflexota. The record is from RNAcentral.
CAGGGAAUCUUCGGCAAUGGACGAAAGUCUGACCGAGCAACGCCGCGUGAGUGAAGAAGGUUUUCGGAUCGUAAAACUCUGUUGUUAGAGAAGAACAAGGACGUUAGUAACUGAACGUCCCCUGACGGUAUCUAACCAGAAAGCCACGGCUAACUACGUGCCAGCAGCCGCGGUAAUACGGAGGGUGCAAGCGUUAAUCGGAAUUACUGGGCGUAAAGCGCACGCAGGCGGUCUGUCAAGUCGGAUGUGAAAUCCCCGGGCUCAACCUGGAAACUGCAUUCGAAACUGGCAGGCUAGAGUCUUGUAGAGGGGGGUAGAAUUCCAGGUGUAGCGGUGAAAUGCGUAGAGAUCUGGGGGAAUACCGGUGGCGAGGGCGGCCCCCUGGACAAAGACUGACGCUCAGGUGCGAAAGCGUGGGGAGCAAACAGG